RNAcentral lists this long non-coding RNA (388 nucleotides) under Hordeum vulgare. RNAcentral's name for it is "long non-coding RNA (HVUL_LNC010403)". The record is from RNAcentral. Lineage: Eukaryota; Viridiplantae; Streptophyta; Magnoliopsida; Poales; Poaceae.
UUUCUUCUCCAUUAGCACCACCACCACCAAACUCCAUCGUCGGUCACUGCCUCACCGAUGCGAGGUCGAAGGCCCCGGCGCAGCAUCUUCCUCCUCUGAAGAAGUUCCUCCAGGCAGGUGCGUCCCGGGAGCAACUCCAUUGGAGUGGCCAUUGGCCAGCCGAAGGUUCACCGGGCUCCAUCGUCCCGGCCGACGGCCGGCGUGCUGCAGCACGGCGCGUGGCACUAUGUGCCAGCGGCGGGGCGCCGAUAGGCCAGUGGAGCUGCUCGCCCAGUUGUCGAAGACGUCCCCGAGCGCAGCAGCCCGCGCGGGGAGGUGCAGCCCGAGGCUAGCGCUCGACGAAGAAGCACCAGUGUCCGCGUUCAUGGCGCAUGCACCAAUCGCCGAG